UCCGAGUUGACCCCGGCAGUCUCCUAUGAGUCCCCAACUUAAUGAUGGCAACACGCCACGGGGGUUGCGCUCGUUGCGGGACUUAACCCAACAUUUCACAACACGAGCUGACGACAGCCAUGCACCACCUGUGCUACACCCUCGAAGGCGACUGCUUUUCGGCAGCUUGCAGUAGCAUGUCAAGCCCUGGUAAGGUUCUUCGCGUUGCAUCGAAUUAAGCUACAUGCUCCACCGCUUGUGCGGGCCCCCGCCAAUUCCUUUGAGUUUCAACCUUGCGGCCGUAGUCCCCAGGCGGUUCACUUAAUGCGUUAGCUGCGGCACCGAGGGUUACCCCCCAACACCUAGUGAACAUCGUUUAGGGCCGAGACUAC
RNAcentral lists this unclassified non-coding RNA (371 nucleotides) under uncultured bacterium. Its description in RNAcentral is "contains 16S-23S intergenic spacer region". The record is from RNAcentral.